UACGUAGGGUCCGAGCGUUGUCCGGAAUUAUUGGGCGUAAAGAGCUCGUAGGCGGUUUGUCGCGUCUGCUGUGAAAUCCCGAGGCUCAACCUCGGGUCUGCAGUGGGUACGGGCAGACUGGAGUGCGGUAGGGGAGAAUGGAAUUCCUGGUGUAGUGGUGGAAUGCGCAGAUAUCAGGAGGAACACCGAUGGCGAAGGCAGUUCUCUGGGCCGUAACUGACGCUGAGGAGCGAAAGCGUGGGGAGCGAACAGG
This 253-nucleotide ribosomal RNA is filed under the name uncultured bacterium. Its description in RNAcentral is "partial 16S ribosomal RNA". It matches the Rfam family "Bacterial small subunit ribosomal RNA", at positions 524 to 776 of the family's 1533-position model. The record is from RNAcentral.